GAUGAACGCUGGCGGCGUGCUUAACACAUGCAAGUCGAACGAUGAAGCCCAGCUUGCUGGGUGGAUUAGUGGCGAACGGGUGAGUAACACGUGAGUAACCUGCCCUUGACUCUGGGAUAAGCCUGGGAAACUGGGUCUAAUACUGGAUAUGACUUCUCAUCGCAUGGUGGGGGGUGGAAAGAUUUAUUGGUCUUGGAUGGACUCGCGGCCUAUCAGCUUGUUGGUGAGGUAAUGGCUCACCAAGGCGACGACGGGUAGCCGGCCUGAGAGGGUGACCGGCCACACUGGGACUGAGACACGGCCCAGACUCCUACGGGAGGCAGCAGUGGGGAAUAUUGCACAAUGGGCGCAAGCCUGAUGCAGCGACGCCGCGUGAGGGAUGACGGCCUUCGGGUUGUAAACCUCUUUCAGUAGGGAAGAAGCGAGAGUGACGGUACCUGCAGAAGAAGCGCUGGCUAACUACGUG
This 466-nucleotide ribosomal RNA is filed under the name uncultured bacterium. RNAcentral's name for it is "partial 16S ribosomal RNA". It matches the Rfam family "Bacterial small subunit ribosomal RNA", at positions 28 to 507 of the family's 1533-position model. The record is from RNAcentral.